RNAcentral lists this ribosomal RNA (1624 nucleotides) under Shigella sonnei. RNAcentral's name for it is "partial 23S ribosomal RNA". It matches the Rfam family "Bacterial large subunit ribosomal RNA", at positions 1321 to 2925 of the family's 2925-position model. The record is from RNAcentral. Lineage: Bacteria; Pseudomonadati; Pseudomonadota; Gammaproteobacteria; Enterobacterales; Enterobacteriaceae.
GUGAAAAGCCCGCUCGCCGGAAGACCAAGGGUUCCUGUCCAACGUUAAUCGGGGCAGGGUGAGUCGACCCCUAAGGCGAGGCCGAAAGGCGUAGUCGAUGGGAAACAGGUUAAUAUUCCUGUACUUGGUGUUACUGCGAAGGGGGGACGGAGAAGGCUAUGUUGGCCGGGCGACGGUUGUCCCGGUUUAAGCGUGUAGGCUGGUUUUCCAGGCAAAUCCGGAAAAUCAAGGCUGAGGCGUGAUGACGAGGCACUACGGUGCUGAAGCAACAAAUGCCCUGCUUCCAGGAAAAGCCUCUAAGCAUCAGGUAACAUCAAAUCGUACCCCAAACCGACACAGGUGGUCAGGUAGAGAAUACCAAGGCGCUUGAGAGAACUCGGGUGAAGGAACUAGGCAAAAUGGUGCCGUAACUUCGGGAGAAGGCACGCUGAUAUGUAGGUGAAGUCCCUUGCGGAUGGAGCUGAAAUCAGUCGAAGAUACCAGCUGGCUGCAACUGUUUAUUAAAAACACAGCACUGUGCAAACACGAAAGUGGACGUAUACGGUGUGACGCCUGCCCGGUGCCGGAAGGUUAAUUGAUGGGGUCAGCGCAAGCGAAGCUCUUGAUCGAAGCCCCGGUAAACGGCGGCCGUAACUAUAACGGUCCUAAGGUAGCGAAAUUCCUUGUCGGGUAAGUUCCGACCUGCACGAAUGGCGUAAUGAUGGCCAGGCUGUCUCCACCCGAGACUCAGUGAAAUUGAACUCGCUGUGAAGAUGCAGUGUACCCGCGGCAAGACGGAAAGACCCCGUGAACCUUUACUAUAGCUUGACACUGAACAUUGAGCCUUGAUGUGUAGGAUAGGUGGGAGGCUUUGAAGUGUGGACGCCAGUCUGCAUGGAGCCGGCCUUGAAAUACCACCCUUUAAUGUUUGAUGUUCUAACGUGGACCCGUGAUCCGGGUUGCGGACAGUGUCUGGUGGGUAGUUUGACUGGGGCGGUCUCCUCCUAAAGAGUAACGGAGGAGCACGAAGGUUGGCUAAUCCUGGUCGGACAUCAGGAGGUUAGUGCAAUGGCAUAAGCCAGCUUGACUGCGAGCGUGACGGCGCGAGCAGGUGCGAAAGCAGGUCAUAGUGAUCCGGUGGUUCUGAAUGGAAGGGCCAUCGCUCAACGGAUAAAAGGUACUCCGGGGAUAACAGGCUGAUACCGCCCAAGAGUUCAUAUCGACGGCGGUGUUUGGCACCUCGAUGUCGGCUCAUCACAUCCUGGGGCUGAAGUAGGUCCCAAGGGUAUGGCUGUUCGCCAUUUAAAGUGGUACGCGAGCUGGGUUUAGAACGUCGUGAGACAGUUCGGUCCCUAUCUGCCGUGGGCGCUGGAGAACUGAGGGGGGCUGCUCCUAGUACGAGAGGACCGGAGUGGACGCAUCACUGGUGUUCGGGUUGUCAUGCCAAUGGCACUGCCCGGUAGCUAAAUGCGGAAGAGAUAAGUGCUGAAAGCAUCUAAGCACGAAACUUGCCCCGAGAUGAGUUCUCCCUGACCCUUUAAGGGUCCUGAAGGAACGUUGAAGACGACGACGUUGAUAGGCCGGGUGUGUAAGCGCAGCGAUGCGUUGAGCUAACCGGUACUAAUGAACCGUGAGGCUUAACCUU